This 310-nucleotide unclassified non-coding RNA is filed under the name Hebeloma sp. RNAcentral's name for it is "partial contains 5.8S ribosomal RNA, internal transcribed spacer 2, and large subunit ribosomal RNA". The stretch from base 1 to 52 matches the Rfam family "5.8S ribosomal RNA", at positions 103 to 154 of the family's 154-position model. The record is from RNAcentral. RNAcentral also lists the same sequence under 2 other names. Lineage: Eukaryota; Fungi; Basidiomycota; Agaricomycetes; Agaricales; Hymenogastraceae.
AACGCACCUUGCGCUCCUUGGUAUUCCGAGGAGCAUGCCUGUUUGAGUGUCAUUAAAUUCUCAACCUUUAUCAACUUUUGUUGAUAAUGGCUUGGAUAUGGGGGUUUAUUUUGCUGGCUUCUUUACAGAUGGUCAGCUCCCCUUAAAUGCAUUAGCCGGUGCCCCGCGUGGACUGUCUAUUGGUGUGAUAAUUAUCUACGCCGUGGACAUCUGCAAUCAUAUGGGUUUGCACUGCUUCCAACUGUCUGUUGAAUCAGACAAUACAUGACAAUUUGACCUCAAAUCAGGUAGGACUACCCGCUGAACUUAA